AAGACAGAUUCCAAGACCCUUGGAGUCCCCACAGAAGUUAUCUGAACGGCGGGUCUGCGGACCCCGAGCAGUGUUUGGGUCUGUAGCUCAGUUGGUUAGAGCGCACCCCUGAUAAGGGUGAGGUCGCUGGUUCAACUCCAGCCAGACCCACCAGUCCCGGAUGGGGCCAUAGCUCAGCUGGGAGAGCGCCUGCCUUGCACGCAGGAGGUCGGGAGUUCGAUCCUCCCUGGCUCCACCACCCUUGGGCCGCGCGAAGCCAACCCCGGCGAGCCUAGUCCUCAAGGCCAAUUGUUUUGACGUUUAGGACUUGGUUUUUCCAAGCACGAGUUCUUUAACAAAACGGUGAGAUCGUAAGGCGUCUGAACGGAGUCGUAUCCGCUCAGAGCAACGUAGGUGAUGUCGAAGACAGAAUCCCAAGCG
RNAcentral lists this transfer RNA (420 nucleotides) under Allochromatium vinosum. RNAcentral describes it as "partial 16S-23S ribosomal RNA intergenic spacer". The stretch from base 77 to 150 matches the Rfam family "tRNA". The record is from RNAcentral. Lineage: Bacteria; Pseudomonadati; Pseudomonadota; Gammaproteobacteria; Chromatiales; Chromatiaceae. RNAcentral also lists the same sequence under 2 other names.